UGGUGGAGCGAUUUGUCUGGUUAAUUCCGAUAACGUACGAGACUCUAGCCUACUAAAUAGUUCGGGGACCCCCACAAAGGGGCCCCGCUUCAACUUCUUAGAGGGACAGGUGGCGUUUAGCCACACGAGAUUGAGCAAUAACA
Molecule: ribosomal RNA, 143 nt
Filed under: uncultured eukaryote
Lineage: Eukaryota
Description: partial 18S ribosomal RNA
Rfam family: Eukaryotic small subunit ribosomal RNA
Source: RNAcentral